AAAAAAGAAGAAAAAAA
RNAcentral lists this small RNA (17 nucleotides) under Arabidopsis thaliana (thale cress). RNAcentral describes it as "ATSL115980". The record is from RNAcentral. Lineage: Eukaryota; Viridiplantae; Streptophyta; Magnoliopsida; Brassicales; Brassicaceae.